AACGAACGCUGGCGGCAUUCCUAACACAUGCAUGUCGAACGAGACCUUCGGGUCUAGUGUCGCACGGUUGCGUAACGCUUUUGAACCUUCCCUUAGGUUCUGAAUAUCUCCCCGAAAUGGUUUCUAAUUCCUGUUAUUGUCUUCUGACCAAUGAUUUUUCUCCUUUGGUUGGGCCCGCCUUGGAUUAGCUAGUUGGUAGUGUAAAAGCCUACCAAGGAGAAGAUCCAUGGCUGAUGUGCGAGGAUGAUCAGCCACACAGGGACUGAGACACGGCCCAGAGUAUUACGGGAGGCAGGAGAGGGGAAUAUAGAACAAGGGGCGAAAGCCUGAUCGAGCAAUGAAGGGUGAGUGAUGAAGGCCUUAGGGUUGUAAAGCUCUUUUAAAGGGGAUGAUAAUGACAGUACAGGGAGAAUAAGCGCGGGCUAACUCCGUG
RNAcentral lists this ribosomal RNA (433 nucleotides) under uncultured bacterium. RNAcentral's name for it is "partial 16S ribosomal RNA". It matches the Rfam family "Bacterial small subunit ribosomal RNA", at positions 29 to 507 of the family's 1533-position model. The record is from RNAcentral.